Molecule: transfer RNA, 72 nt
Filed under: Datura stramonium (jimsonweed)
Lineage: Eukaryota; Viridiplantae; Streptophyta; Magnoliopsida; Solanales; Solanaceae
Description: tRNA-iMet
Source: RNAcentral
ACUAAGGUGGCACAGCGGAAGCUUGGUGGGCCCAUAACCCACAGGUCCCAGGAUCGAAACGUGGCUCUGAUA